UUUAAUAUAGUUUAAAUUAAAAUUUUAAAUUGCAAAUUUAAAGAUUAAUAAUGAAU
This 56-nucleotide transfer RNA is filed under the name Bombus lapidarius. Its description in RNAcentral is "tRNA-Cys". Lineage: Eukaryota; Metazoa; Arthropoda; Insecta; Hymenoptera; Apidae. The record is from RNAcentral.